AUUGAACGCUGGCGGCAGGCCUAACACAUGCAAGUCGAACGGUAACAGGAAGCAGCUUGCUGCUUCGCUGACGAGUGGCGGACGGGUGAGUAAUGUCUGGGAAGCUCUCUGAUGUAGGGGGAUAACAAGUGGAAACGGUAGCUAAUACAGCAUAAUGUCGCAAGCCUAAAGAGGGGGACCUUUGGGCCUCUUGCUAUAGGAUGUGCCCAGAUGGGAUUAGCUUGUUGGUGGGGUAACGGCUCACCAAGGCGACGAUCUCUAGCUGGUCUGAGAGGAUGACCAGCCACACUGGAACUGAGACACGGUCCAGACUCCUACGGGAGGCAGCAGUGGGGAAUAUUGGACAAUGGGCGCAAGCCUGAUGCAGCCAUACCGCGUGUGUGAAGAAGGCCUUCGGGUUGUAAAGUACUUUCGUCGGGGAGGAAGAGAGUAAGGUUAAUACCUUGCCGCAUUGACGUUACCCGCAGAAGAAGCACCGGCUAACUCCGUG
RNAcentral lists this ribosomal RNA (490 nucleotides) under uncultured bacterium. Its description in RNAcentral is "partial 16S ribosomal RNA". It matches the Rfam family "Bacterial small subunit ribosomal RNA", at positions 30 to 507 of the family's 1533-position model. The record is from RNAcentral.